CCUUGGAUAGUUUAAUAAAACGUAGUGUUGAAGCCGCUGAGUUGGGCUUAGCCCUCCGGGGG
RNAcentral lists this transfer RNA (62 nucleotides) under Argopecten purpuratus. Its description in RNAcentral is "tRNA-Phe". Lineage: Eukaryota; Metazoa; Mollusca; Bivalvia; Pectinida; Pectinidae. The record is from RNAcentral.